Molecule: ribosomal RNA, 521 nt
Filed under: uncultured Bacteroidota bacterium
Lineage: Bacteria; Pseudomonadati; Bacteroidota
Description: bacterial SSU rRNA
Rfam family: Bacterial small subunit ribosomal RNA
Source: RNAcentral
CAGGGGGAUAGCCUCUCGAAAGUGAGAUUAACACCGCAUAAUAUCAACAGUUCGCAUGUUCGGUUGAUUAAAUAUUUAUAGGAUAGAGAUGGGCUCGCGUGACAUUAGCUAGUUGGUAGGGUAACGGCUUACCAAGGCGACGAUGUCUAGGGGCUCUGAGAGGAGAAUCCCCCACACUGGUACUGAGACACGGACCAGACUCCUACGGGAGGCAGCAGUAAGGAAUAUUGGUCAAUGGGCGGAAGCCUGAACCAGCCAUGCCGCGUGCAGGAUGACUGCCCUAUGGGUUGUAAACUGCUUUUGUCCAGGAAUAAACCUAAAUACGUGUAUUUAGCUGAAUGUACUGGAAGAAUAAGGAUCGGCUAACUCCGUGCCAGCAGCCGCGGUAAUACGGAGGAUCCGAGCGUUAUCCGGAUUUAUUGGGUUUAAAGGGUGCGUAGGCGGCCUAUUAAGUCAGGGGUGAAAUACGGUGGCUCAACCAUCGCAGUGCCUUUGAUACUGAUGGGCUUGAAUCCAUUUGA